This is a long non-coding RNA of Orcinus orca (killer whale), 12652 nucleotides long. RefSeq lists it as uncharacterized. Lineage: Eukaryota; Metazoa; Chordata; Mammalia; Artiodactyla; Delphinidae. The record is from RefSeq and is a predicted model, not a curated record. The transcript has 4 exons.
GGGGAGCGCGCAGCCCGGCGGCGCCUUCCCGUCAAGCCCAGAGGCGUCCUGGCUUCCGGUUUGGGUGUGGUCGUGGAGUGGGCUUUGCUGCAGGUGAUUGCAGGGAAUGGAAUGUUGCGACUGGCGUCUGGCAGAUGUAAACCGAACCAAAACACUGAAGGCAAUAUGCUGUAAAUGCAUCUGGAUGUGCCCUAAUUGGAUGAUAAAGGCACCUCAACCCCUUUAUGAAAGAGGAUGCUCAGAGCCCUACUCCAAAGAUGAAUUCAGCCACAGUCACUGUUCACCAUAGACUCAAACUAUACUAUCCAAUUUCACAUCUUUUUUCUUGACUGAAACGACGUUCAGAUCAUCUCCCUUCUCAUCUUCAGCUUGUUUUCUCAUCUUUGGUUUGGCAGCCAGCACCUCUAGCCUGGAGGCAUCAAACUUCAGCACACACCAGAAUCUCCUGGCCUGCCUAUUAAAGCAGCUGGUUGGACCCCCACUAGCAUUUAUGCUUCAGUAUGCUUGGAUUGUCAUGGGAUUGUUAUCUGCAAUGGACUUGGAGACCUUAUGAAGGUAUUCCUGGGAACUACAUCUAUUGGGGCAAGCAAUUGUUGUAGAGGAACCAGCUAUCAGUGAAUAUGUGAUUUGUGGAUUAUGGAUUUAGAAAGAUCAGAAGAUAGAAAAAAAUCCCUGAUAUUAAAAGAGAAGAUAUGUUACUUAUAAAACAUAAUCAGUAUAUAUCUUUUCAUGAUUGUAUUUUAAAACAUUGUUAUUAUUACUACACUUAAUUACCACAAACUCCAUAGACUACCCAGCCCAAGAGGAAUGUUCUAACCCCCUGUCCAAAUCUGAGCCCCUCUGAAACUCCCUUUUAUAUGGAGGCACUUCACAACCUGUACCAAGUGAAGAAUGGGAUGAAAGAGAACUAUUUAUAAAUCUUGUCAGGUUGGAGCAGUGGACGGUGGGUUGGUUGCUGAAUACUCCAAACAUCAGAAUGCUUUUGAAGCCAAGGAAAAAAUUUGAUUCAUUGCAUUUUGUUUUUUUAAACCAUAGAAGGGAAAACUGAUCACAUGGGCAGGGGAAAUACUAUCUCUGUGCUCUAUGUAUUUAUUGUUUUAGCAUAAGAUUGUAAUUGCUGCUAAGCCCCUUUGGAGAAAAACUCUCCAAGGCAUGCUGAGGUUAGGACUGUGUUUCUCGGCGUUACUUUUUGGCAUCUGUUUGCCUUAGGCCAUGGCUAUUUUAAAUAUUUAUAUAUUAUUAUACAAGAAGAAAGUGAUUUAAAAACCCAUAUAAUGUGUUAUAGGAGCUCAGAAAGUGAAGAGAUUAAUUUAGAAGCUAAUGGUUAAGAGGAAAUAUAUAAUUAUUUUUCCUGAAAAAAAUUUUCCUAGUAAUUGAGUUUCUGACAAUGUGGUUUCCAAAGGAAUAAGUGUAAUACCGUAAUCUGAAACUCUGCUUUGUUUGUAUGUAAAUGUGCUGGAAUAUGCUUUGUGUUUAUCAUUCCCAAAAGGGGAAAUCCAUUACCUUGUCCUACAUAGUUUAUGUGUAUUAGUUUACGUGACUUCCUAUGUAGUCUAACAAUUACAGAGAGAAAUAUCCAUAUAUAAGUGGAUCAAAGCAUGGAUUUAAAAAAGCAAAGAGAAAGAAGAAGUGAUUUACUGGAUCUGACACCCUGUUUACCAUUUCAGGAUCAAACCAAUACCAAAUUCCAAGGACAUAGUAGGGAGUCCAGCAGACAGUAAAUGAAGUGGCAAAUGCAACCGUCAUCUUUAGGGUCCUCAGUCGAGCUUGUGGUAUAUUAUUCUUGGAUUGAUUCAGUUGUAGUUCUUUUAGAUAGAGAAAAGAGUAGGUGUUUAACAACCAGUUUUAUUACAAAACCAAAAUAGACAAAAAGGAAGACAGAAUCAUAAUUCAACCUGAUGAAUAUAAUGGAAGCAAAUUUCUAAUAUUUUUAAUAAUGACAAUUUGUUUGAAAAGCUUGUUUAUAUUUCAAGUUUUCCACUAUGUUACAUAAUAAAUAGAAAAUAUUAAAGAUAGUAGUGCUCUUAAAAUAAAUUUUCCAUCAAACUAAUAUGGAUUUGAAAUAAAGGGCUACUCAAAUUCUUAAAAUAUAAAUUUAAGAGAAGAGACUGAAGUUGAACUGAGUUGAAUUCCCUACCUUUUGGUUGUCAUGCCAACAUAACCAUGUUUACUUUAUAAAUUUAUAAAUUCCCCCUCUUUCCCAACUGGCCACAUAGGAGGUGUCAUUGCCAUUGUGGGAGGCAGUAUAAGCUUGGCACAUGGAAGAAACACAUGCAUUGGAACUGGUGUCAGAAUCCUAGUUGGCAUUAAGGACAUUGAAGGACGAGGACAAGAUGGCAGAGUAGAAGAACGUGAGCUCACCUCUUCUUACAGAAACACCAAAAUCACAACUAACUGCUGAACAAAACAUGCUGGGACCUACCUCCAAAGAUACCCUACAUCCAAAGACAAAGAAGAAGACUCAAUGAGAUGGUAGGAGGGGCUCAGUCGUGAUAAAAACAAAUCCCAUAUAUGCUGGGUUAGCAGCCCACAUAUUGGAAAGUAAUUAUACCACAGAAGUUCUCCCAAAGGAGUGAAAGUUUUGAGCCCCAUGUAUGGCUCCCCAGCCUGAGGGUCAGGCAAUGGAAAGAGGAGCUCCCGGAAAUUGAGACUGUGAUUAAAAAUCUUCUACCAAACAAAGGCCCAGGACCAGAUGGCUUCACAGGAGAAUUCGAUAAACAUUUAGAGAAGAGCUAACACCUAUCCUUCUCAAACUCUUCCAAAAUAUAGCAGAGGGAGGAACACUCCCAAACUCAUUCUGCAAGGCCACCAUCACCCUGAUACCACAACCAGACGAAGAUGUCACAAAGAAAGAAAACUACAGGCCAAUAUCCCUGAUGAACAUAGAGCAAAAAUCCUUAACAAAACACUAGUAAACAGAAUCCAACAGCAAAUUAUAAGGAUCAUACACCAUGAUCAAGUGGGGUUUAUCUCAGGAAUGCAAGGAUUCUUCAAUAUAUGCAAAUCAAUCAAUGUGAUACACCAUAUUAACAAAUUGAAAGAGGAAAACCAUAUGAUCAUCUCAGUAGAUGCAGUAAAAGCUUUUGACAAAAUUCAACACCCAUUUAUGAUAAAAACCCUCCAGAAAGUAGGCAUCGAGGGUACUUACCUCAACAUAAUAAAGGCCAUAUAUGAAAAACCCACAGCCAACAUCUUUCUCAAUAUUGAAAAACUGAAACCAUUUCCUCUAAGAUCAGGAACAAAACAAGGUUUUCCUUUCACCACUAUUAUUCAACAUAGUUUUGGAAGUUUUAGCCACAGCAAUCAGAGAAGAAAAAGAAAUAAAAGUAAUCCAAAUCGGAAAAGAACAAGUAAAGGUGUAACUGUUUGCAGAUGACAUGAUACUUUACAUAGAGAAUCCUAAAGAUGCUACCAGAAAACUACUAGAGCUAAUCACUGAACUUGGUAAAGUAGCUGGAUACAAAAUUAAUGCACAGAAGUAUCUUGCAUUCCUAUACUUUAAUGAUGAAAAAUCUGAAAGAGAAAUUAAGGAAACACUUCUCUUUACCGUUGCAACAAAAAUAAUAAAAUACCCAGGAAUAAGCCUACCUAAGGAGACAGAAGACCUGUAUGCAGAAAACUAUAAGACACUGAUGAAAGAAAUUACAGAUGAUACAAACAGAUGGAGAGAUAUACCAUGUUCCUGGAUUGGAAGAAUCAAUAUUGUGAAAAUGACUAUACCACACAAAGCAAUCUACAGAUUCAAUGCCAUCCCUAUGAAACUACCAAUGGCAUUUUUCACAGAACGAGAACAAAAAAUUUCACAAUUUGUAUGGAGACACAAAAGACCCCGAAUAGCCAAAGAAGUCUUGAAGGAAAAAAGCGGAGGUGGAGGAAUCAGACUCCCUGACUUCAGACUUUACUACAAAGCUACAGUAAUCAAGACAAUAUGGUACUGGCACAGAAACAGAAAUAUAGAUCAAUGGAAAAGGAUAGAAAGCCCAGAGAUAAACCCAUGCACCUAUGGUCAACUAACCUAUGACAAAGGAGGCAAGGAUAUACAAUAGAGAAGAGACAGUCUCUUCAAUAAGUGAUGCUGGGAGAUCUGGACAGUUACAUGUAAAAGAAUGACAUUGGAACACUCCCUAACACCAUACAGAAAAAUAAAUUCAAAAUGGAUUAGAGACCUAAAUGUAAGACCUGACACUAUAAAACUCUUAGAGGAAAACAUAGGAAGAACACUCUUUGACAUAAACCACAGCAAGAUCUUUUUGGAUCCACCUCCUAGAGUAAUGGAAAUAAAAGCAAAAAUAAACAAAUGGGACCUAAUGAAACUUAAAAGCUUUUGCCCAGCAAAGGAAACCAUAAACAAUAAGAAAAGACAACACUCAGAAUUGGAGAAAAUAUUUACAAAUGAAGCAACUGACAAAGGAUUAAUCUCCAAAAUUUAUAAGCAGCUCAUGCAGCUCAAUAUCAAUGAAACAAAUAACCCAAUCCAAAAAUGGGCAGAAGACCUAAAUAGACAUUUCUUCAAAGAAGAUAUACGGAUUGCCAACAAACGCAUGAAAGGAUGCUCAACAUCACCAAUCAUUAGAGAAAUGCAAAUCAAAACUACAAUGAGGUAUCACCUCACAGCAGUCAGAAUGGCCAUCAUCAAAAAAUCUACAAACAAUAAAUGCUGGAGAGGGUGUGGAGAAAAGGGAAACCUCUUGCAUUGUUGGUGGGAAUGUAAAUUGAUACAGCCACUAUGUAGAACACUGUGGAGGUUCCUUAAAAAACUAAAAAUAGAACUACCAUGUGACUCAGCAAUCCCAGUACUGGGCAUAUACCCUUAGAAAACUAUAAUUCAAAAAGAGUCAUGUACCACAAUGUUCAUUGCAGCUCUAUUUACAAUAGCCAGGACAUGGAAGCAACCUAAGAGUCCAUUGACAGAUGAAUGGAUAAAGAAGAUGUGGCACAUAUAUACAAUGGAAUAUUACUCAACCAUAAGGAGAAAUGAAAUCGAGUUUUUGUAGUGAGGUGGAUGGACCUAGAGUCUGUCAUACAGAGUGACGUAAGUCAGAAAGAGAAAAACAAAUACUGUAUGCUAACACAUAUAUAUGGAAUCUAAGAAAAAAAAAGAUUCUGAUGAACCUAAGGGUAGGACAGGAAUAAAGAUGAAGAUGUAGAGAAUGGACUUGAGGACAUGGGGUAUGGGAAGGGUAAGCUGGGACGAAGUGAGAGAGUGGCAUGGACAUAUAUAUGCUACCAAAUGUAAAAUAGAUAGCUAGUGGGAAGCAGCUGUAUAGCACAGGGAUAUCUGCUCGGUGCUUUGUGACCACCUAGAGCGGUGGGAUAGGGAGUGUGGGAGGGAGACGCAAGAGGGAGGAAAUAUGGGGAGACAUGUAUAUGUAUAACUGAUUCACUUUGUUAUGCAGCAGAAACUAACACACCAAUGUAAAGCAAUUAUACUCUAAUAAACAUGUUAAAAAAUUAAUACACAGAAAUCUGUUGAAUUUCUAUAAACUAACAAUGAAAUUUCAGAAAGAGAAAUUAAAGAAAGAAUCCCAUUUACCAUAGCAUAAAAAAGAAUAAAAUACCUAGGAAUAAACCUAUCUAAAGAGGCAAAAAAACUGUACUCUGAAAACUAUUAGACACUGCUGAAACAAAUCAAAGAUGACACAAACAGAUGGACAGAUAUACCAUGUUCUUGGACUGGAAGAAUCAGUAUAGUCAAAAUGACUCUACUAUCCAAGGCGAUCUACAGAUUCAGUGCAAUCCCUAUCAAUGUACCAAUGGCAUUUUUCACAGAACUAGAACAAAAAAUUUUAAAAUUUGUAUGGAAAACAAAAAUACCCAGAAUAACCAAAGCAAUCUUGAGAAAGAAAAACAGAGCUGGAGGAAUCAGGCUCCCUGACUUCAGAGUAUUCUACAAAGGUACAGUAAUCAAAACCUGGUAUGGGAACAAAAACAGACAUAUAGAUCAAUAGAACAGGAUAGAAAGGCCAAAAAUAAACCCACACACCUUUGGUCAGUUAAUCUAUGACAAAGGAGGCAAGAGUAUACAGUGGAGAAAAGUUAGUCUCUUCAAUAAGUGGUGCUGGGAAAAUUGGACAGCCACAUGUGAAAGAAUGAACUCAGAACAUUCUCUAACACUAUACACAAAAAUAAACUCAAAAUGGAUUACAUACCUAAAUGUAAGGCCAGAUACUUUAAAACUCCUAGAGGAAAACAUAGGCAGAACACUCUUUUAUGUAAAUCACAGCAAUAUCUUUUUCAGUCCAUCUCCUAGAGUAAUGUAAAUAAAAACAAAAUAACCAAAUGGGACCUAAAUAACUCAAAGGCUUUUGCACAGCAAAGGAAACCAUAAACAAAAUGAAAAGACAAACCUCAGAAUGGGAGAAAAUUUUUGCAAAUGAUGCAACCAACAAGGGAUUAAUCUCUAAAAUUUACAAGCAGCUCAUGUGGCUCAACAUCAAAAAAACAAAUGACCCCUCACAAACUGGUCAGAAUACCUAAAUAAACAUUUCUCCAAAGAAGACAUACAGAUAGCCAUGAGGCACAUGAAAAGAUGCUCAACAUGGCUAAUUAUUAGAGAAAUGCAAAUCAGAACUACAAUGAAAUAUCACCUCACACCAGUCAGAAUGGCCAUCAUCAAACAGUCUACAAAUAAUAAAUGCUGGAGAGGGUGUGGAGAAAAGGGAACCCUCUUGCACUGCUGGUGGGAAUGUAAAUUGAUACAGCCACUAUGGAGAAGAGUAUGGAGGUUCCUUAGAAAACUAAAAAUAGAACUACCAUAUGAUCCAGCAAUCCCACUACUGGGCAUAUACCCUGAGAAAGCCAUAAUUUUAAAAGACACAAGCACCCCAAUGUUUAUUGCAGCACUAUUUAUAAUAGCCAGGACAUGAAAGCAACCUAAAUGUCCAUUGACAGAUGAAUGGAUAAAGAAGAUAUAGUAUAUAUAUAUAUAUAUAUAUAUAUAUACACACACACACAAUGGAAUAUUACUCAGCCAUAAAAAGGAAUGAAAUUGGAUCAUUUGCAGAGACAUGGAUGGACCUAGAGACUCUCAUACAGAGUGAAGUAAGUCAGAAAAAGAAAAACAAAUAUUGUAUAUUAAUGCAUAUAUGUGGAAUCUAGAAAGAUGGUGCAGAUGAACCUAUUUGCAAGGCAGAAAUAGAGACCCAGCUGUACAGAAGAAAUGUAUGGACACCAAGGUGAAAUGAAUUGGGAGACUGGGAUUGACAUAUAUACACUAAUAUGUAUAAAAUAGAUAACUAAUGAGAACCUGCUGUGUAGCACAGGGAACUCUACUCAAUGCUCUGUGGUAUCCUAAAUGGGAAGGAAAUCCAAAAAAGAGAGGAUAUAUGUAUACAUAUUGCUGAUUCACUUCACUGUACAGGAGAAAUUAACACAACAUUGUAAAGCAACUAUACCCCAAUUAAAAACAAAAAAAAUAGAUAACCAACAAGGACCUGCUAUAUAGCACAGGGAACUGUGCUCAAUACUCUGUAAUAACCUAAAUGGGAAAAGAAUUUGAAAAAGAAUAGAUACAUGUAUAUGUAUAACUGAAUCACUUUGCUAUACAUCUGAAACUAACACAGCAUUGUUAAUCAACUAUACUACAAUAUAAAAUUUUAAAAAUUCAUAAAUUUUAGUAUUUGAGAAUGCACCAGAUUCUUAAAGCAAAAAGGCACAACUGCAUCUGUGAAGUUAAAGAUGAAAUAGUCAAUUACACGUUCAAGUUCACAUACUCAACACACAAAUGUGCAUAGUGUGUGGAUACAUUUUGUGGGUACAGGAGAUUUGAAUGUGAUACAGAAAAGCUUAACUUUAACAAGUCUAUUGGCUACCAUUUAACGAGUUGUACUUUGCUACAUUCUAGACAUUAGGUGUUUGAUAGAGCUUUGUGAUGGACCAGCAGGAACAAGUUGCCGAUGCUUCUGUCGGGUAAUUGGAGUAACUGUCCUUUCAUUUUUAAUUUCAUGCUGCAAAUUUAUAAUAUUGGGAGUAUUAAAUUACCUCAUAUCUAAAUUGGGGAUAAUAAAAGUAUUGCCUCAUGGGUUGAUUCUGAAUAUUAAAAGAGUUAAUUAAUAUACGUAAACUGCUUAGAACAGUAUCUAGCGCAUCGUAAGUGCCACUCUGCUUCUGUGCUUUGAGUAUUGCUGUUAAAAGCUGUCUACCCCCAAUUAACACCAAAUCUAAGGAAUACGUACUGUGGGGAUCCUGAUGAAGGACGCUUGUCAGGGUGAAGAUGAUCUUUGCAUUGCAGAUCAACAUGAUGAGAAGAGGGAUGAUGAAGAGGCAGGUGAAGGUGAAAAAGUUAUAAAAGGCUUGAUGCCACCAUUGUGGAAAACUGCAGUGUGUUACACAUUGAGAGAAACCUUCUGUCUGUCCAGAGUCAUCUUCUAAAUGGAUCAUCCUGAAGAUGUAUAACUGUAUAAGAAAAUUUUUAAAAAAGUGAUGUUGCUUAUUUUCAAACAGUAUUUGCAAGUUUUCUUGAAAGUUUUCUCUUCUGUAUUCUGCUAACCUUCUAACAUGUUGUUGCCCAAAGCAACUGCUAAGUAUCUUGAUAUUCUUUUGGCAUUUCUACAAAAAGUUAUAAGUGGAUUUUUACUUAAAAUAUGUUUGGGUAAUGUGAAUGGAUCUGUAGGAUUUUGGAUUUCUUUUGCAAUUAUUUCAACCUCGCAGCACAAUCAUCAACCAAAGAUUUAAACCUUGUUUGUAUUUCAAUUUCAGAUGCUAUUAUGCUGAGUAAACUUUUUGCGAGUGAUUUUGCAAGUGAUUUUAUUGUUAUAUCCUCAGCACAUAAAACUGUGUCUGGUAUUUAGAACAUACCCUCAAAAUACAAAUUUAGAUUUUAUUUUUGAGACAAAAUCUCAUUAAAAUGGUCAUAAAACAUGAACAGACAGUUCACAGAAAAGAUAUAACAGUGGCCCUUAAUCAUAUGAAAAGACGUUCAACCUCACUUAUGAGAGCAGUGCCAACCAAUUAAGGCUACAAUGAUAUGCCAUCUUCCACUAUCAAGAUUGGCAAAAUUAAAAAAAAAAUAGCACACUUUCAUGGUAAGGCUGUAGGGAAACAGGGACUCAUACAUUGCUAAUGGGAAUGCAAAUUGGUACAACCAUUAAGGAGGGGAAUUUGGCAAUAACUAGCAUAACUACAUAUGCAUUUACCUUUGACUCAGCAAUCUGACAUUCAGGAAUUUACCCUGAAGAUACACCCCUACUUCCAUUAUAUGAAAAUACAUACGCACAAGAUUAUCCAUUGAUGCAUUGCUUAUAACUGAAAAACAUUGAAAAUAAUCUAAAUAACAAUUCAUUGAAUAGUAACUGAAUAAACUACAGUUGGCCACACAAUGGGGUGCUGUACAAUUGUAAAAAAAGAGUAAGGGUAACGUGUGUGUGUGUGUGUGUGUGUGUGUGUGUGUGUGUGUUUGCAUGUGUACACAUAAAUACAUUUAUUCCAGCUCUGCCUGUGGAGAGAGCCUAGGAAUAAUGACAUCUGAGUAGCAAUGAGCACACCCAGCACUCCAGCACCCAGAUCUUGUUUUCUAAGUAUCAUUCUCUAUCAGAAGGAACCAGACCUAACUGGAGAAAUGGGUGAUCCCAAGGCUGGGGAAAGCAAAGUACAAUAUGUCCUUGGAACAGCUGUUGUGCUGAAAAGUCAGGAAAUGCCCAGAGAAUGAUGGAGCAUGUGAAAAAUGUUCAGGCACCAGCUUGAAAGAGCUUCAGUUGGCCAAAUCUGGGAUAGUUUAAGCAUGAAAACAAACAAACACUGAUAGAAAACAAUGAUAAACUAUCGAAUAAAGAAAGAAACCGUGACUCCAUGCUGAUAUAAAUUACAAACCAACAACGACAAAUAAAUGGGGAGAGGAAAAAGCUCUUUACUGUAGAAAGUCAAUUAAUAAAUGUAAAAGGUAUAGUGGAAGUAGUGAUUACCAUUUUGUAAUCACUAUAAUAAUAAUUGAUUCAGGCAAGAAUCACCAAUGGAUGGUAAAAAUAUGGGUGUAAGUUUGAGGAGAGUAGUUUAUUUAUAUCAUCUCAAAGUAUCUACCUGCAGGAUACAUGUCAUUAUAACGUUAUUAUAAAAUAAUAACUUUACUAGUCAAGAAAUAACCAAAUAAUUAACAUUGCCAAUAAUGGGACCAAUUGACAGUUUCUGCUUCCUUCUAGAAUGUGCUGCUGUGUCACCUCUUAGGUAUUUUUUGCUAAAAGUGUGUGGAUGAAGAAUGUCACCUACCAUAUCAGUAAACAAAGAAUGUUGUGGCCAUCAAGCCAUAGCCCCUGCAGCCACCCCCGACUGUGCACACUGAGGGCAUUCAGGAUGGAAAAAGGCAGGAUACUGGCUCUAGAUAGUUAAGGUGCAUUUCAAAGGGAUGAUUUCAAUAAGUCUGGACUCUUGCAUCUUCCCAUACUUAGAAAAGCACUAAAUUCAUUAACUUGAGAUAUAUCAUUUUUCUUUAAUUAACAAUAAUCUUUUGAUGUUCCGACUACCUGUUUUUUGUUGCAAAACAACCUAUACAUCCUGGCUCCUCCCUUGCUUCUUGGGAAUAUUCCCUCAGAGUUAUCUGAGAGUCUGUCUUCUGGCCUUACGUCCUCAGAAAAUCUACUGAAUAAAACAUAAUUCUCAACUUUUAGGCUGUACAUUUUUUUUCAGUCGACAAGUGCAUAACCUGAAUCUACCCACGAGCAAACAUCAGACAAACUCAAAUUGAGGGGCAUUCUACAAAAUAAUUGGCCUGCACUCUUCAAAAAUGUUAGCAUCAUGAAAUUCAAAGGAAGACCAAGGAAUGGUUCCAGUUUAAAGGAGACUAAAAAGACAUGGCAACUGAAUCCCUCGCAUAAUCUUGGAUUUUCUUUUGCUAAAAGGGAUAUUAUUGAGACAGCGUGUGAGAUAUGGAUAAGGUAUAUAGAUAAAAAAUAGCACUGUAUUAGUGAUAAUUUCCUGAUUUUGAUAAUUAGUACUGUGGUUAUGUGCUAGAAAAAACACAAUGAAGUAUUGAAAGGGACGUCAUGUCUGAACUUACUUUUAAACAAUCCAGAAAAAAAUGUACACAAGAGAGAGAAUAAGGCAAAUAAACAAAUGUAGUAAAAUGUUAAUAUUUGGGGAAUCAAGGGAAAGGUAUCCUAGAAAUCUUUGUAUGAUUCUUGCAACCUUUCUCUAAAUGUGAAAUUAUGUUAAAAAAAGAACAAGUUGAGUUAACUAUUAAGGAAACGUUGCAAGUGGUUUUCAAAAACAAGUUUUAGUGGACAUUUAUUUAUCCUUUCCCCAUCCAUCAAGCACAUUUCUGACUUCGUCAUUUCCAAGAUUUUCUACUGAAAAACUUCGUUUUACCAUGAAACAUUAAAAUGAAAAGAGUGCCCAAGCACUUAAAAACUGAUAGCAAGUUAAUUCAAGCAAAAAUGUUACAGGAUUUUUUAAGCAAAUGAGGGAGAGUAUACAUUUUCAUUAGUUUUGAUUAAAUUAGUAAAUUUAAAUUACAUUUAAUUAACUUAAUAGGCCCAGAAUUUCUUUCCUUUUGGGGAGGGCUGGAGUGGGAGUAGAUUAUGCCUUUAAAAAAAUACUGUUUUUCCUCUUUGCUUGUAGAGUAGAAAAAUUUUACUAAAUGUAAAAUAUAAUAAAAUAUAUACAAAUGUAAUAAAAUAUAAGUAAGUAUAAUACAAAAUAUAAACCUAUUUCUUUUAUUUGUAGUUAAAAUGUUGAUUUUCAGUUUCAGAUCUUUUCAGCGUCUAGGGCAAAAAAGAAUUUUAAAAUCAAUCCACUAGAGGACGCCAAUGAUCAUAUUAUCUACCUUAAGUCGAAACGACAUACAUUCAGCUAAUUCUAUUUUAUGAUCCAGACCAACUUUUUCCACAUUACAAAGUGACCCUUUCAGUUUUUCCAUACUUCUUUGCAAACUGACCUUUAAAGUUCAGUUUGAAUUUGACUCAACAGGUGUUGUGAGUUGAAAUCCUUGGAAGAGUUCCUUCGCAUAGAAUCGGAGAGUCCUAUAUUUCUUAAAAAUCUUUUUCUCUCUACCUCUCCAAUCAGCCUUGGAACCAGAUGACCCGAAUUUGAUUUUCUGCUCUGCACUGGGUCACAUUUUCACUUUAAUAUUUCACGUUUUUAAGUUAUAACGAUGAAACUUUCAAUAAAAUUGACUUUAUAGUACUAUGAUUUGAAUUUGGUUGUCAUCUUUAUUUAUGUAACAAAUGUUACUUUUUAAAGCAACUCCUUGGUCAAAAAACUAUACUAGGCACACUCUGUUGUAAAAGAUGACCUUCAUAUAUCCUGCCAUCAGGGAAUUAAAUUUUUGGUAGGGGAGAUAUAGCAUAUAUGUGACAUCUGUAAUACAAGAUAGACUGUGAUAAGUUCCCAAGGAGAAGUAUCGUGUUAUGAAAAUUCAGAAUCUUACUUGUCCAUAAAUUAAUUUGUUUUAGGCUUGGUUCCGUUUAUUUUCAGCUCCAAGGCCAUGUUCAUUUGAAUGAUUAAUAUAAGGUUCCACUUUACUUCCUGUGGUUCUUUUGUCCUUGGAUCAUAUUUUUAAAAUUUCUUUAUGUUUCUUUACUCUCAUGCCUGGCCCCAGUUCUCAUCAGUGUUUGCUUUAUUUUGCCCUCAACAAUAGCAAUCUGUUUUCCAUAUUUACAGUCCUUGCAGAUGCUAUUCCUCAUAGCAUAUUAUUUUUAACCUUCACCUUACCCACGCUAGUGAC